Molecule: ribosomal RNA, 450 nt
Filed under: Triticum aestivum (bread wheat)
Lineage: Eukaryota; Viridiplantae; Streptophyta; Magnoliopsida; Poales; Poaceae
Description: partial small subunit ribosomal RNA
Source: RNAcentral
AUGGAAGCAAAAGUUUUCAAGGCCUUGCUUAGCUUUAUCUACACAGACUCAUUCCCUAUGAUGGAGUAUGACGACAUGGAUGAGGAUGAAAUGUCACAACUUAUGGAAGAAGGACAAGAAACGGAAGCAAUAGAAGAUGGAAUGUUGCUGCAAUGGCUCGGAGACUUGUUUGUAGUGGCUGACAAAUAUGACGUCCAACGCCUCAAAUGCAUUUGUGUGAGGCAGUUGUCCAAACACAUGGGUGUGCUCUCGGUGAUGUCCACUCUUGCUCUAGCCGAGCAACACCACUGCCAGGAAUUGAAGGAGGUGUGCUUGAAGUUUAUCCAAGUCCAGUCUCCGAUGUGCUUGCAAGCAAUAAUGACAACUAAUGGUUGGGAUCAUGUAUACACGACCUACCCCUCCAUUUUGAAGGAGCUCAUUGCCAAGCUUGCUUCGAACCAGCGGAAGUAA